Molecule: ribosomal RNA, 253 nt
Filed under: uncultured bacterium
Lineage: Bacteria
Description: partial 16S ribosomal RNA
Rfam family: Bacterial small subunit ribosomal RNA
Source: RNAcentral
UACGAAGGGGGCUAGCGUUGCUCGGAAUCACUGGGCGUAAAGCGCACGUAGGCGGACUCUUAAGUCAGGGGUGAAAUCCUGGAGCUCAACUCCAGAACUGCCUUUGAUACUGGGAGUCUUGAGUUCGGGAGAGGUGAGUGGAACUGCGAGUGUAGAGGUGAAAUUCGUAGAUAUUCGCAAGGACACCAGUGGCGAAGGCGGCUCACUGGCCCGAUACUGACGCUGAGGUGCGAAAGCGUGGGGAGCAAACAGG